RNAcentral lists this ribosomal RNA (103 nucleotides) under uncultured bacterium. Its description in RNAcentral is "partial 16S ribosomal RNA". The record is from RNAcentral.
AAGGUCCUCUGGAUUGUAAACUUUCUUUUAGUCUAGGGAAGAAACCCAUUUUUCUAAAAUGGCUGACGGUACCAGAUGAAAUAAGCACCGGCUAACUCCGUGC